AUUGAACGCUGGCGGCAGGCCUAACACAUGCAAGUCGAGCGGCGGAAGGGUGCUUGCUCGCGGAUUCAGGGGGGGAGGGGCGGGUGAGGCCGGGGAAUCUGGCAGGCAGCGGGGGAUAGGGGGCGGAAACGGGGGAAAAUACGGCAUAAGCGCAGAGGGAGAAAGGGGGGGAGCAGGGGAUCUUAGGAUAUCAGGUGAGCCAAGGUCGGGUUGGCGAGUUGGUGGGGUAAAGGCCUACCAAGGCGACGAUCCGUAACUGGUCUGAGAGGAUGAGCAGUCACACUGGAACUGAGACACGGUCCAGACUCCUACGGGAGGCAGCAGUGGGGAAUAUUGGACAAUGGGCGAAAGCCUGAUCCAGCCAUGCCGCGUGUGUGAAGAAGGUCUUCGGAUUGUAAAGCCCUUUUGUUUGGAAAGAAAGGCAGUAGGUUAAUACCUUGCUGUUUUGACGUUACCCACAGAAUAAGCACCGGCUAACUUCGUG
This 484-nucleotide ribosomal RNA is filed under the name uncultured bacterium. RNAcentral's name for it is "partial 16S ribosomal RNA". It matches the Rfam family "Bacterial small subunit ribosomal RNA", at positions 29 to 507 of the family's 1533-position model. The record is from RNAcentral.